UUAGUUAAGCGUGGGCUUUUCUCUGCAAAAUUUGCAACUCAAAGUUUCCUCCAGUCGUUGGAUUAUCAAUGAGAAUACUACUGCAAAAAAUAGUCCAAGAGUUUAUAAUACCAACUAUGAAAAAUCAAAACAGCAAUCUUUUGCAGGAGUAUUCUCAUUGAGAAUCCAACAAUUAGAGAAAGCUUUGACACAAGUUUUGCAAGAAAAAAGGAAAGUCUCAUGUCUCAACUAA
RNAcentral lists this microRNA precursor (232 nucleotides) under Populus trichocarpa (black cottonwood). RNAcentral's name for it is "miR6479 stem-loop (ptc-MIR6479)". Lineage: Eukaryota; Viridiplantae; Streptophyta; Magnoliopsida; Malpighiales; Salicaceae. The record is from miRBase by way of RNAcentral.